This 759-nucleotide ribosomal RNA is filed under the name uncultured Porphyromonas sp. RNAcentral describes it as "bacterial SSU rRNA". It matches the Rfam family "Bacterial small subunit ribosomal RNA", at positions 28 to 776 of the family's 1533-position model. Lineage: Bacteria; Pseudomonadati; Bacteroidota; Bacteroidia; Bacteroidales; Porphyromonadaceae. The record is from RNAcentral.
GAUGAACGCUAGCGAUAGGCUUAACACAUGCAAGUCGAGGGGCAGCAUGGUCUUAGCUUGCUAAGACUGAUGGCGACCGGCGCACGGGUGCGUAACGCGUAUGCAACUUGCCUCACAGAGGGGGAUAACCCGUCGAAAGACGGACUAAUACCGCGUACACUCCACUUUGGGCAUCCAAUGUAGAGGAAAUGAAAUUCGCUGUGAGAUAGGCAUGCGUCCCAUUAGCUAGUUGGUGAGGUAACGGCUCACCAAGGCGACGAUGGGUAGGGGAACUGAGAGGUUGAACCCCCACACUGGUACUGAGACACGGACCAGACUCCUACGGGAGGCAGCAGUGAGGAAUAUUGGUCAAUGGGCGAGAGCCUGAACCAGCCAAGUCGCGUGAAGGAUGACUGUCUUAUGGAUUGUAAACUUCUUUUAUACGGGGAUAACAAGAGCCACGUGUGGCUCCCUGCAUGUACCGUAUGAAUAAGCAUCGGCUAACUCCGUGCCAGCAGCCGCGGUAAUACGGAGGAUGCGAGCGUUAUCCGGAUUUAUUGGGUUUAAAGGGUGCGUAGGCGGCCUGUUAAGUCAGCGGUGAAAUCUAGGAGCUUAACUCCUAAAUUGCCAUUGAUACUGGCGGGCUUGAGUGUAGAUGAGGUAGGCGGAAUGCGUGGUGUAGCGGUGGAAUGCAUAGAUAUCACGCAGAACUCCGAUUGCGAAGGCAGCUUACUAAGGUACAACUGACGCUGAAGCACGAAAGCGUGGGUAUCAAACAGG